This 465-nucleotide ribosomal RNA is filed under the name Triticum aestivum (bread wheat). RNAcentral describes it as "partial small subunit ribosomal RNA". Lineage: Eukaryota; Viridiplantae; Streptophyta; Magnoliopsida; Poales; Poaceae. The record is from RNAcentral.
AUGUCUUCUUCAAGCUCCCCCGCCACCUCGCAGAUCCAGAGCCCGGCGCAUGUGGAUAUGUCGAUCUUCGUCUGCCCGCGGUGUCGUAGCGUUGAUCGGAGGAUUUCUCGCACACCGAAGAACCAUAUUCGUCCGUUCUACGUGUGCAGCGAGAAUGGGGUAAAAUGUUUUUUCCUUUGGGUCGAUGCUCUGGCCAAGACUCUGAUGAAUGAACUGCAAGAAGAGCACGAAGAAUGGUUGCUCAUCCUGCCAUGAACGGCAGUGGCCGCAGCAAGAGCUUCGGAAGAAGAGAAGGAGGGCAGAGCACGCAAUGACAGAGAGCUAGCUGUUGAGCUUAAGAGGUUGAACAAGAAGGUUAGGAAGCUCAAAGAUCAAGCACAAAUACCCAUUUGCAAUUACUUUUGGACAUUUGUAGGUAUGGUAAUCGCACUGGGUGUAAUGUUGAAAUUGUAUGGAAAGGCAUGA